Molecule: transfer RNA, 62 nt
Filed under: Pediacus sp. MJ-2020
Lineage: Eukaryota; Metazoa; Arthropoda; Insecta; Coleoptera; Cucujidae
Description: tRNA-Cys
Source: RNAcentral
AACCUUAUAUUCAAAUAUGAUUUUAAAUUGCAAAUUUAAAGGUAAAUAAAAUUUUGAGGUUU